Molecule: ribosomal RNA, 274 nt
Filed under: uncultured bacterium
Lineage: Bacteria
Description: partial 16S ribosomal RNA
Rfam family: Bacterial small subunit ribosomal RNA
Source: RNAcentral
AUACGGAGGGUGCAAGCGUUGUUCGGAAUCACUGGGCGUAAAGGGCGCGCAGGCGGUUUGGUAAGUCGGAUGUGAAAGCCCACGGCUCGACCGUGGAAGUGCAUUUGAAACUGCCAGACUUGAGUACCAGAGGGGAAAGUGGAAUUCCCGGUGUAGAGGUGAAAUUCGUAGAUAUCGGGAGGAAUACCGGUGGCGAAGGCGACUUUCUGGCUGGAUACUGACGCUGAGGCGCGAAAGCGUGGGGAGCAAACAGGAUUAGAUACCCGGGUAGUCC